RNAcentral lists this ribosomal RNA (465 nucleotides) under Vreelandella stevensii. RNAcentral's name for it is "partial 16S ribosomal RNA". It matches the Rfam family "Bacterial small subunit ribosomal RNA", at positions 338 to 795 of the family's 1533-position model. The record is from RNAcentral. Lineage: Bacteria; Pseudomonadati; Pseudomonadota; Gammaproteobacteria; Oceanospirillales; Halomonadaceae.
CCUACGGGUGGCAGCAGUGGGGAAUAUUGGACAAUGGGCGAAAGCCUGAUCCAGCCAUGCCGCGUGUGUGAAGAAGGCCUUCGGGUUGUAAAGCACUUUCAGUGGGGAAGAAAGCCUUGGGGCUAAUACCCUCGAGGAAGGACAUCACCCACAGAAGAAGCACCGGCUAACUCCGUGCCAGCAGCCGCGGUAAUACGGAGGGUGCGAGCGUUAAUCGGAAUUACUGGGCGUAAAGCGCGCGUAGGCGGUCUGAUAAGCCGGUUGGGAAAGCCCCGGGCUCAACCUGGGAACGGCAUCCGGAACUGUCAGGCUAGAGUGCAGGAGAGGAAGGUAGAAUUCCCGGUGUAGCGGUGAAAUGCGUAGAGAUCGGGAGGAAUACCAGUGGCGAAGGCGGCCUUCUGGACUGACACUGACGCUGAGGUGCGAAAGCGUGGGUAGCAAACAGGAUUAGAUACCCGAGUAGUC